RNAcentral lists this ribosomal RNA (254 nucleotides) under uncultured bacterium. Its description in RNAcentral is "partial 16S ribosomal RNA". It matches the Rfam family "Bacterial small subunit ribosomal RNA", at positions 524 to 776 of the family's 1533-position model. The record is from RNAcentral.
CACGUAGGGUGCGAGCGUUGUCCGGAAUUAUUGGGCGUAAAGAGCUCGUAGGCGGUGUGUCGCGUCGGCCGUGAAAACCUGCAGCUUAACUGUGGGCUUGCGGUCGAUACGGGCAUCACUGGAGUUCGGCAGGGGAGACUGGAAUUCCUGGUGUAGCGGUGAAAUGCGCAGAUAUCAGGAGGAACACCGGUGGCGAAGGCGGGUCUCUAGGCCGAUACUGACGCUGAGGAGCGAAAGCGUGGGGAGCGAACAGG